RNAcentral lists this ribosomal RNA (465 nucleotides) under uncultured Klebsiella sp. RNAcentral describes it as "bacterial SSU rRNA". It matches the Rfam family "Bacterial small subunit ribosomal RNA", at positions 338 to 795 of the family's 1533-position model. The record is from RNAcentral. Lineage: Bacteria; Pseudomonadati; Pseudomonadota; Gammaproteobacteria; Enterobacterales; Enterobacteriaceae.
CCUACGGGAGGCUGCAGUGGGGAAUAUUGCACAAUGGGCGCAAGCCUGAUGCAGCCAUGCCGCGUGUGUGAAGAAGGCCUUCGGGUUGUAAAGCACUUUCAGCGGGGAGGAAGGCGUUAAGGUUAAUAACCUUGUCGAUUGACGUUACCCGCAGAAGAAGCACCGGCUAACUCCGUGCCAGCAGCCGCGGUAAUACGGAGGGUGCAAGCGUUAAUCGGAAUUACUGGGCGUAAAGCGCACGCAGGCGGUCUGUCAAGUCGGAUGUGAAAUCCCCGGGCUCAACCUGGGAACUGCAUUCGAAACUGGCAGGCUAGAGUCUUAUAGAGGGGGGUAGAAUUCCAGGUGUAGCGGUGAAAUGCGUAGAGAUCUGGAGGAAUACCGGUGGCGAAGGCGGCCCCCUGGACAAAGACUGACGCUCAGGUGUGAAAGCGUGGGGAGCAAACAGGAUUAGAUACCCGUGUAGUC